AGGCCUAUUAAUAUAUGUGGGAAAGUGCUUGUCCUUGCAUGUCAAAUUAGCCAAAUUAAAGCAUAGUGGCCGGCCAUGCUAUGGGUGGAAACAUGUCACAAACAUGUUAUGUUAGUGAUGUAUGUUAGGAAAAAUAAAAUAAGGAGCAUGGUAAUAAAAUAAUGAAAGGGAAUAUGAUGAGAACAAAGAAAAAAAAAGUGUCCAUCCAUUUUCAUUUCUUUUGGCUGAAAGUUCUAAGGAAGAAGGAAGGAGCUCUUGCUUCAUGUUUGGCUUGGAAGAGGAUUAGGAGGAGGUUCGGCCAUACUUGUGUCUAGGAUAAGGUAUGUUUGAUGUUGUGCCAUGAGACUCAUGCAUGUUUUUAGUUGUUAGCUUGAGUUCUAACUAGCCCAUGGUUCAAAUCUUUGCUAUGUCAUGGAGAUGAUAUUCGGCUAAGGUAGAUUGGUGUUGAUGUCAUUUCCAUGCUAAAAGUGAAGCUUUGUAAUGAUGCAUGUGAUGGUGGAUUGAUGACUCUUGAAUCUUCUUUUUAGCAUUUUUGAGUGAGACAUUAAGUUCUUUGUUUAACCAUGACCAAAAUUGAAAUGGUAUGGUGUUGUGAUGCAUUCGGCCAUGGUAGGAAGUAGAAGAGAAAUGUGGUUGUUGUUCACGUUAUUUAGAUGAGAAAUGGUAGUAAGGUGAAGUGCAAAUGUUAGUGUUUGAUUUACUAGUGUGUAUAUGUGUAUUAGCUGAGUUUUGAAUUUGAAACAAAAUGGUAUGUAGUCAAUACAAGUAACCAUAUUUGUAGGAAGUAUUAAGCAUAUACUCGGCCUCAACCUAGACAUGUAUAUUCGGCCACAUGAGAUAGGUUGGUGUUGCAUGUGUUCGGUUAGAGGCAAGCAUAUUGAUGCUUUUAUCUUGGCUUAGAUAAUCAGCUAAAAGAGAGUGUGGGCUAAAAUGUUGAGUUUGAUUCAUGAUUUCCAUAUAUAUAUGUGACUUUAAUGCCUAAUGUAUAUAUGGGCUAAGUACCUUGAGGUUCUCUUUUGAUGUUCAAAUGAAUUGUGUUAAAUUGCUUAAUGUGAUUAAAAAUGCGCAUGACCAUUGUGUAUUUGAGCUAAAAGGUGGCCAUAUGACCUAUCAAGCUCCUUGUCAUAUUCGGCCAUAAGCUAGCAUAAUGAGACUUUAAUAAGUUAAAUUUGUUUGAAUUAGCUCAAGAGCUUAGAGGACCACAGUUGGAUAAGGGAAAGGAAAAAGUUAUCGAAUAGACGCCGAAAACGUUCGACCACAUCCAAGGUAAGUUUUCGAGCAAUGAGACCUAGUUUAUGAUUUGAUUAAGUCAUAAUGGAUGUGCAUAGAGAUCGUGUUAUAAAGCAAACUAAACCAUGCUGUUUGUAUGUGGCUAGUGAGCCGAAAUGGGAAUGCUUAAUACGUGACUUGUGUUUGAACUCUAAUUGUGAAAAUGAAAUUAGAUGUGUCAUGAUUUAUUGAUAUGUGCAUGAAUGUUCGGAUGAUAACCGGGCUAAGUCCCGAGAGCAUUUGAGCUAGUGGCUAAUUUCGGGCUAUGUCCUGAAGGCAUUUGUGCGAGCUACUAAUUCCGGGCUAAGUCCCGAAGGCAUUUGUGAGAGCUACUAAUUCCGAGCUAAGUCCCGAAGGCUUUUGUGCUAAUUAUUAUACCGGGCUAAGUCCCAAAGGCAUUUGUGCAAGUUACUAUAACCGGGCUAAGUCCCGAAGGCAUUUGAGCUAGUGGCUAUAUCCGGCUAAACUCCGAAGGUACUUGGUUUGGGAACGAGUGAUCUUGCUGUAAUAAUUUAAAUUGAUACGCUCGUAAAACCCAAUAAUGAGGUACGUUUCGUAUAUACAUUAGGGUGGUGAUUCCGUUUAAAUAAUAUUCGCUCAGUAAUUUAAUGAGCUUCCGGCCUUGGCUAAGUUGAUCUUUUGUGUAUGAAUAUAAGGAUUGGUAAUGUGAAGUAAGUAUGAUAUUGAGAAUUUGUGCAUAUGAGAUUAUCCGUUUAGCCAUAUGAUUGCUAUACUUUGGUUGUGUCUAAUUUCAUGGCUCAAUCUUACUAAGCAUUAAAUGCUUACUCCGUUUCUUUGAUUCUCUGUUUUAUAGAUUUUGGGUUCGUAAGCUAUCGGACUCGGGAUUAUUCAAGUCGAAGUCUCCCACACUAUCAAAGCCCCUUUUUGGUACACUUUUGGUUGAACUUUGAAAUGGCAUGUAUAGGACUACCCUUUUUGUUGUUGGUCAUGGACCCUUUGGUUUUGUAUAAAUUUGGAUAGCCAUGCGAAAAUGGCUUAUAUACACUUUGAGCUUAAUAUUAUAAUCGUCUUGUAUGAUGUUCAUUAAGAGGUAUGGAAAUGUUUGGGAACGAUCAGCCAUUGGAAUGGUUAAUCAUGAUCAUAUUUUGUGCUAUAUAUGCUAAAGGGCUAGUUGAAUCAUGGAAACUAUGUAAUAGGUAAAGUUUACCCUAAAGGCUGAUGCUGGCAGCAGCAGUGAUGUGGAUGUGAAAAAUCACUAAAAAUAGUAUGAAUGGAAUUAAAUAGUGAAUAAAUUAUGUAAUCGAACCUUGAUGAAUCUAUGUUCAUAGGAAAGUAACGGAACAGUCAUAUGAACAGUAUAUUAUGAGAUGUUAAAGUUUUCGUGAAACAGGGCCAGAACGGUUUCUGGAUUCCCUGUUCCGACUUUGUAAAUUCAUUAUAAAUUAACCAGAGAUAAUUAGAAGUCAUUCCUUACAUUUAUAGAUUCCUUGUUGAGUCUAUUUUCAUUAGAAACAAACGGCAUCAGUAUUGAAGCCCUGUACAGGGAGAUAUUCAAGUUGUAAUGCGAAAAGGUCAGUGUAGUCGAACCCUGAAAAAGGGAGGAAUUUAACUAAUAAACUGUACUAAUUGGCUUGACCAAAAAUUCUAGAAAAAAAGUUGUAGAUGAAAAUAUGAGUCUAGUUUCAGGAAAAAUUUACGAAACUGGUUUUCGAGUUUUGAAACUCAAGAUAUGAUUUUUAAGGCGACAGUGAUGCAGUAACCAGCUUGUCUGGAAAAUUUUCAAAUGGACUGUGAAAAUAAAUGUAUUAUGUCUGUUAGCACCUCGUGUUCGACUCCGGCAACGGUCUCGGGUACGGGGUGUUACAAUUAAAUUAGUAUCAGAGCUACGGUUUAGUCGAUUCUAGGACUACCGUACUACGUUUGGGUCUAGCUAUACAUGCCAUUAUGUGAUUAUUUGAUAGCGUGGUGAUUUCUGACAUUUGCAAAUGUGUGUAUUUAUAGUAAUGGAUCCCGAUCUCGACCGAGCGGUAGCUGAUGAUCUUGAGAGUGUAGCGCCUGCUCCCGCACAAGGGAUAGCUCCGGCGGACUCUCAACCUAUUGCUAGUAAUCCGAAUGAUGAAGCUAGACAAGCUUUCUAUAGCGUGAGGAAUGAUUGGUUCAACCAAUACAUUCGAACUAAUACGGCUGUUCCACAACCUCCAUUCCCGACUAAUGCCACCCCCGCACCUACAAUACCUCCAGCAACUGACCAAAUAAGGUCAAAUAAGCCCCCAGUUGAUAGAAUCCGAAAACACGGGGCUACUGAAUUUAAGGCUACGGAUAGCGAUGAUGCCGAGCAAGCUGAAUUUUGGUUGGACAACACUAUUCGGGUACUCGAUGAGCUAUCUUGCACACCCGAUGAGUGCCUAAAGUGUACUAUCUCCUUGCUACGUGAUUCUGCCUACUAUUGGAGGAAUACGUUGACUUCUGUUGUGCCCAGAGAGCAAGUAACUUGGGAGUUCUUCCAAACCGAGUUUCGAAAGAAGUAUAUCAGUCAGAGAUUCAUCGACCAAAAACGAAAGGAAUUUCUUGAACUCAAACAAGGUUCCAUGUCGGUUACCGACUAUGAACGAAAAUUUGUGAGGCUUAGCUGAUACGCGCGAGAAUGCAUUUCUUCAGAGGUCGUGAUGUGUAAACAUUUCGAGGAUGGACUGAAUGAUGAUAUAAAGCUGUGUGUUGGCAUUUUAGAAAUCCGAGAAUUUGUGGUACUCGUCGAGCGAGCUUGCAAAGCUGAGGAGCUCAGUAUGGAGAAAAGAAAAGCUGAUAUGGGAGCAAAGGAGUUUCGUAAGAGGUCUUCAGGGAGGCCCUUUCAACAGUCAUCGAAGAAAUUUAGAGAUGAUUUAGGCCGAUCUAGAAAAACUUCGGGCUUUUCUAGACGAGAUCGCGAUCGACCCCCUGUGAGUGCACGAGUCACUUCGAUCGCCAGUGUUGGAACUGAUCGUCGAGACAGAGCGGAGUGCCAGUAUUAUGGUAAAUGGCAUUCGGGGAGUUAUAGAUUCCAUGACCGCUCCUGUUACAAGUGCGGGUCAGUUGACCACUUUAUUAAAGAUUGCCCGAGGUUGUCUGAACAGAAUGUAAAUCAGAGUGGGAAACCCGGUGCUACCACUGCUCGAGGUAGACCAUCUAGAAAUACAGGCAAUGCUAGUGGUGGUCAGAGAGGAUCUAGAGAUGCAACGACCAAAUCUGAUGCUCGUGCUCCUGCUAGAGCUAAUGCUAUACGCGCACGCGAGGAUGCUUCCUCGCCAGACGUUAUUACAUGUACUUUUACUCUCUUUGAUUCUAAUGUGAUUGCUUUGAUUGACCCCGGUUCUACUCAUUCUUAUAUAUGUGAAACCUUAGCAUCCAGUAAGACUUUACCUAUUGAGUCUACUGAGUUCGUUAUUCGGGUGUCAAAUCCCUUGGGUCGUUACGUGCUUGUCGACAAAGUGUGUAAGAAAUGUCCCCUAGUAAUUCGAGGUUCCUGUUUUCCGGCGGACUUGAUGCUUUUGCCAUUUGAUGAAUUUGAUGUUAUCCUCGGUUUAGAUUGGUUGACCGUGCAUGAUGCGGUUGUGAAUUGCAAAAGCAAGACUAUUGAAUUGAGGUGCGUAAAUAACGAGAUAAUCCGAGUGGAGUCUACGGACUUAAAGGCGUUGCCAGCUGUAAUAUCAUCAACGUUGGCCCAGAUAUAUGUAAGAAAGGGGUGCGAAGCAUACCUUGCGUAUGUACUUGAUGACAAAGAGUUAGAAAAGAAACCCGAAUCUGUGCCGGUGGUUUGUGAAUACCCGGAUAUUUUUCCCGAGGAAUUACUGGGUUUACCACCUGUUCGGGAGGUAGAGUUUGGUAUUAAGCUUGUACCUGGGACUACGCCGAUUUCGAUAGCUCCGUAUCGUAUGGCACCAACCGAGUUAAAAGAGUUGAAAGCUCAGUUGCAAGAAUUGACGGAUAGAGGUUUCGCUCGACCAAGUUUCUCUUCUUGGGGUGCACCAGUAUUGUUUGUGAAAAAGAAGGACGGAACCAUGAGGUUGUGCAUCGACUAUCGUCAGCUGAAUAGAGUGACAAUAAAGAAUAAAUAUCCGUUACCGCGUAUUGACGAUUUGUUUGAUCAACUAAAGGGAGCCUCGGUGUUUUCAAAGAUAGAUUUGAGACCGAGUUAUUACCAGUUGCGAAUUCGAGAUUCGGAUAUACCCAAAACUGCUUUUAGAACGAGAUACGGUCACUACGAGUUCUUAGUGAUGCCGUUUGGGCUCACUAAUGCCCCUGCGGUAUUUAUGGAUUUGAUGAAUCGGAUCUUCAGACAGUAUUUGGACUGGUUCGUAGUUGUGUUCAUUGAUGACAUCUUGGUCUAUUCAAGAGAUGAGACCCAACAUGCUGAGCACCUGAGAUUAGUGUUGCGAAUUUUACGGGAUAAGCAGUUAUAUGCUAAGUUCAGUAAGUGUGAGUUCUGGUUAAGAGAGGUUAGCUUCUUGGGUCAUGUGGUAUCCGCAUCGGGUAUUCGAGUUGAUCUGAGCAAAAUUUCAGCCAUACUUAAUUGGAAGCCUCCUAGAAAUAUUACUGAGGUUCGGAGCUUUUUGGGACUUGCCGGUUACUACCGACGGUUUGUAAAAGGUUUCUCGAUGAUAGCCACACCGAUGACAAAACUACUUCAGAAAGAUGUUAAGUUCGAAUGGAUGGAAAAAUGUCAGAUUUUGAUCAACUGAAAACUUAUUUGAUUAAAGCUCCAAUUCUAGUGCAGCCCGAAUCAGGCAAGGAGUUCGUCAUUUAUAGUGAUGCAUCCCUACUUGGGUUGGGUUACGUAUUGAUGCAAGAAGGUCGAGUUUUGGCCUAUGCGUCGAGAUAAUUAAAGCCACAUGAGAAAAAUUAUCCGACCCAUGAUCUUGAACUAGCUUUCAUUGUGUUCGCCUUGAAAAUAUGGCGACAUUACUUAUUUGGUGAGAAGUGCCAUGUAUUUUCAGAUCUCAAAAGUCUCAAAUAUUUGAUGACUCAAAGAGACUUAAAUCUACGACAAAGACGUUGGAUCGAGUUGUUAAAAGAUUAUGAGCUUGUCAUUGACUAUCACCCGAGAAAGGCUAAUGUGGUUGCGGAUGCCUUAAGCCGUAAAUCACUGUUUGCUUUACGAGCAAUGAAUGUACACUUUUCUGUUCUAUCCGACAAUGUGUUAGUGGCGGAAUUAAAGGCCAAACCAUUGUUGAUUCAUCAAAUUCGUGAAGCUCAGAAAGUCGAUGAUGAAUUGGUUGCAAAACGGGCUGAAUGUGUUCCGAAUAUGGAAUCAGAGUUUCAAAUUGAUGAUGACGAUUGUUUGAGGUUCAGAAGUUGGUUGUGUGUUCCAAGAAAUUCACAACUCAUUUCGAUGAUUCUGAACGAUGCUCAUUGUAGCCGAAUGUCAAUUCACCCGGGGAGUACGAAAAUGUACAACGAUCUGAGACGUCAGUUUUGGUGGCAUGGCAUGAAACGAGACAUUUCCAAUUUUGUCUCGAAGUGUUUAAUAUGUCAGCAAGUGAAGGCGGAACAUUAAGUGUCUACGGGUUUACUUCAGCCGAUCAUGAUACCUGAAUGGAAAUGGGAUAGAAUCACGAUGGAUUUUGUGUCUGGGUUGCCAUUGUCGACAAGUAAGAAAGCUGCGAUUUGGGUUGUUGGUGAUAGACUGACUAAGUCGGCUCAUUUUAUCCCCAUACAUACGGAUUUUUCAUUGGAUAAACUAGCUGAAUUGUAUGUUUCUCAGAUUGUGAGAUUACACGGGGUACCGAUUUCUAUUGUGUCGGAUAGAGAUCCGAGAUUCACCUCGCGAUUUUGGAAGAAAUUGCAAGAAGCUUUGGGUACCAAGCUGCAUUUUAGCACCGCUUUUCAUCCACAAACCAAUGGUCAAUCCGAGCGGAUAAUUCAGAUACUUGAGGAUAUGUUGAGAUGUUGCAUCCUCGAGUUUAGUGGCUCAUGGGAGCGGUAUUUACCUUUGAUUGAAUUCGCUUACAACAAUAGUUUUCAAUCAAGUAUUAAGAUGGCACCUUACGAGGCUUUGUACGGGCGUAAAUACCGUACACCAUUGUUUUGGACCGAGCUCGGUGAAAGUAAAAUUUUCGGAGUUGAUUUGAUUAAAAAUGCUGAACGGAAAGUAAAAGUAAUCCAUGAAAGUCUGAAGGCAGCCACAGAUCACCAGAAGUCGUACGCGGAUUUGAAACGAAAAGACAUUGAGUAUCAGGUGGGAGACAAAGUGUUUCUUAAGGUUUCACCUUGGAAAAAGAUACUCAGAUUUGGCCGUAAGGGCAAAAUGAGUCCGAGAUUCAUUGGGCCGUAUGAAAUAUCCGAACGAGUUGGUCCAGUUGCGUAUAGAUUGAUUUUGCCCCCUGAACUUGAAAAGAUUCACGACGUCUUUCAUGUUUCGAUGCUUCGAAGUUAUAGAUCUGAUCCAUCGCACAUAAUUAAUCCAUCAGAGGUUGAAAUUCAACCUGAUAUGAGUUAUGAAGAAGAACCGAUUCGUAUCCUGGCUCGUGAAGUGAAAGAGUUACGAAACAAAAGGGUUCCGUUAGUGAAAGUGUUAUGGCUUAAACACGGGAUCGAAGAAGCUACUUGGGAAACCGAGAAUGCCAUGAAAGAACGAUACCCAAACCUAUUUACCGAUAAGAUUUUCGGGGACAAAAAUUUCUUAAGUGGGGGAGAGUUGUGACAGCCCUAAAUUGACCCUAGUCGGAAAGUGGUUUCGGGACCACGAAACCGAGUCUUAUAAAAAAAUUAAAGGUUAUAUUCUGUGUUUAUGAUGUGCGUAAAUGCUUGUGUGAUAGUUCCAUACUUUAAUUUGGUCAGUGUAUGUGAAAUUUAUUAGUAGGGACUUAUGUG
This 8076-nucleotide long non-coding RNA is filed under the name Gossypium barbadense (sea-island cotton). RNAcentral's name for it is "long non-coding RNA (GBAR_LNC004565)". Lineage: Eukaryota; Viridiplantae; Streptophyta; Magnoliopsida; Malvales; Malvaceae. The record is from RNAcentral.